RNAcentral lists this long non-coding RNA (1052 nucleotides) under Sus scrofa (pig). RNAcentral describes it as "lncRNA (ENSSSCG00035079854.1)". The record is from RNAcentral. Lineage: Eukaryota; Metazoa; Chordata; Mammalia; Artiodactyla; Suidae.
GAGCUAAAGUCAAGCUCAUUUGUUUGCAGGAUUAUUGGGAAGUCAGAGUCCCUGGCUCAGAGCAGAGAAGGCAGCAGCCUGCUCCUUUUGUUGAGAACUAUGCUAUGGGGAGCACAGGCUCCGGCACGUGCGCGUGUGUUUGUGUGUGUGUGUACAUUCCUAGGAAAGAGAGAGGAACGUGAAAGCCUUGUUCCGAAGCCUGAGGACCCUGACUGUGUAGCUGUGACCCUUCAGCUUCCACCCUUGCCCCACGCAUGACCCAGUUUGGUUGGACCCCAGCCUGAUGGGGUAGGGAGCUUUGCUACUUUCUCAGUGUGAACAAAUGAUUUCUUCUUUCAGGGUUCACCUACUCCUGGACUCUCAGGUGUUAAGACCACAAAAGACCCAAGACCUGAGCCAUGACUGGAGAAGCUGCACUGAAAUUUUCCAGAAGGACCUGAAGAUUUCACGUAUAAGUGCUAUCAUAGGAUGUCUGUCUUUCUCAAGACCUAUCUUUGUUGAAAUCUGGGAGAAGAAAUCCAGUCAGACCAGCCAAGGGGGUCAGCAGACGCUGUUUGUGCAUCUUUCAUCUGCUUGGCGCUACUCCUUCCUCCAGCCAUGGCCCAGUGUCUCCAACAGGCUUGGACCAGUUUCUUGCAGGUGCAGCCCUGAAGCCCUCCCCUCUGUCUGUGCCCUGCAUCUCUCACUUCCUAUCAGGGGCUUCUCUGAGGCCCUAGCCUGGGUCUCCCUGUGUUAUUGCGUCCAAGCUCUUGUUGCUCAUUGCGGGACAGGCCAACAAAGAGAGAGACAAGGUCAAGUUGGGGCAAGAAAUAGUGACUUCAUUCAGAAAGCCAGCAAACCAAGAAGGGCCACCACUAGUGUCAGAAUUCGGGCUUCUUUGAUACUAAAAGGGGAGAGGGUGUGGUUGUUUGCUGCAAACUUCUUGGUGUCAGAAUCCUUUGUUCUUGGAGCUGUCCCUGUAGGUCAGCUCAUAACAUUCCUGUAAACCCCCAACAAGACAAAUAUUACUCUCCGUUCUGCAACUUUUUAUCUCUAGCGUUUAUGGAAAAGUU